GGGGCUGUAGCUCAGUUGGGAGAGCGCGUGAAUCGCACUCACGAGGUCAGGGGUUCGAAUCCCCUCAGCUCCA
This 73-nucleotide transfer RNA is filed under the name Armatimonadota bacterium. RNAcentral describes it as "tRNA-Ala". It matches the Rfam family "tRNA". From Rfam's summary of the family: Transfer RNA (tRNA) molecules are approximately 80 nucleotides in length. The record is from RNAcentral. Lineage: Bacteria; Bacillati; Armatimonadota.